GUGAGUAACACGUGAGUAACCUGCCCUUGACUUUGGGAUAACUUCAGGAAACUGGGGCUAAUACCGGAUAGGAGCUCCUGCUGCACGGUGGGGGUUGGAAAGUUUCGGCGGUUGGGGAUGGACUCGCGGCUUAUCAGCUUGUUGGUGGGGUAGUGGCUUACCAAGGCUUUGACGGGUAGCCGGCCUGAGAGGGUGACCGGCCACAUUGGGACUGAGAUACGGCCCAG
RNAcentral lists this ribosomal RNA (227 nucleotides) under uncultured Actinomycetales bacterium. RNAcentral describes it as "partial 16S ribosomal RNA". It matches the Rfam family "Bacterial small subunit ribosomal RNA", at positions 106 to 334 of the family's 1533-position model. The record is from RNAcentral. Lineage: Bacteria; Bacillati; Actinomycetota; Actinomycetes; Actinomycetales.